GAUGAACGCUGGCGGCGUGCUUAACACAUGCAAGUCGAACGAAGCAUUUAGAACAGAUUACUUCGGUUUGAAGUUCUUUAUGACUGAGUGGCGGACGGGUGAGUAACGCGUGGGUAACCUGCCUUGUACUGGGGGAUAGCAGCUGGAAACGGCUGGUAAUACCGCAUAAGCGCACAAUGUUGCAUGACAUGGUGUGAAAAACUCCGGUGGUAUAAGAUGGACCCGCGUCUGAUUAGCUAGUUGGUGAGAUAACAGCCCACCAAGGCGACGAUCAGUAGCCGACCUGAGAGGGUGACCGGCCACAGUGGGACUGAGACACGGCCCAGAAUCCUACGGGAGGCAGCAGUGGGGAAUAUUGCACAAUGGAGGAAACUCUGAUGCAGCGACGCCGCAUGAGUGAAGAAGUAAUUCGUUAUGUAAAGCUCUAUCAGCAGGGAAGAUAGUGACGGUACCUGACUAAGAAGCUCCGGCUAAAUACGUG
This 481-nucleotide ribosomal RNA is filed under the name uncultured bacterium. Its description in RNAcentral is "partial 16S ribosomal RNA". It matches the Rfam family "Bacterial small subunit ribosomal RNA", at positions 28 to 507 of the family's 1533-position model. The record is from RNAcentral.